GGUUAAGCGACUAAGCGUACACGGUGGAUGCCCUGGCAGUCAGAGGCGAUGAAGGACGUGCUAAUCUGCGAUAAGCGUCGGUAAGGUGAUAUGAACCGUUAUAACCGGCGAUUUCCGAAUGGGGAAACCCAGUGUGAUUCGUCACACUAUCAUUAACUGAAUCCAUAGGUUAAUGAGGCGAACCGGGGGAACUGAAACAUCUAAGUACCCCGAGGAAAAGAAAUCAACCGAGAUUCCCCCAGUAGCGGCGAGCGAACGGGGAGGAGCCCAGAGCCUGAAUCAGUGUGUGUGUUAGUGGAAGCGUCUGGAAAGGCGCGCGAUACAGGGUGACAGCCCCGUACACAAAAAUGCACAUGCUGUGAGCUCGAUGAGUAGGGCGGGACACGUGGUAUCCUGUCUGAAUAUGGGGGGACCAUCCUCCAAGGCUAAAUACUCCUGACUGACCGAUAGUGAACCAGUACCGUGAGGGAAAGGCGAAAAGAACCCCGGCGAGGGGAGUGAAAAAGAACCUGAAACCGUGUACGUACAAGCAGUGGGAGCCUCUUAAUGGGGUGACUGCGUACCUUUUGUAUAAUGGGUCAGCGACUUAUAUUCUGUAGCAAGGUUAACCGAAUAGGGGAGCCGAAGGGAAACCGAGUCUUAACUGGGCGUUAAGUUGCAGGGUAUAGACCCGAAACCCGGUGAUCUAGCCAUGGGCAGGUUGAAGGUUGGGUAACACUAACUGGAGGACCGAACCGACUAAUGUUGAAAAAUUAGCGGAUGACUUGUGGCUGGGGGUGAAAGGCCAAUCAAACCGGGAGAUAGCUGGUUCUCCCCGAAAGCUAUUUAGGUAGCGCCUCGUGAAUUCAUCUCCGGGGGUAGAGCACUGUUUCGGCAAGGGGGUCAUCCCGACUUACCAACCCGAUGCAAACUGCGAAUACCGGAGAAUGUUAUCACGGGAGACACACGGCGGGUGCUAACGUCCGUCGUGAAGAGGGAAACAACCCAGACCGCCAGCUAAGGUCCCAAAGUCAUGGUUAAGUGGGAAACGAUGUGGGAAGGCCCAGACAGCCAGGAUGUUGGCUUAGAAGCAGCCAUCAUUUAAAGAAAGCGUAAUAGCUCACUGGUCGAGUCGGCCUGCGCGGAAGAUGUAACGGGGCUAAACCAUGCACCGAAGCUGCGGCAGCGACACUAUGUGUUGUUGGGUAGGGGAGCGUUCUGUAAGCCUGCGAAGGUGUACUGUGAGGUAUGCUGGAGGUAUCAGAAGUGCGAAUGCUGACAUAAGUAACGAUAAAGCGGGUGAAAAGCCCGCUCGCCGGAAGACCAAGGGUUCCUGUCCAACGUUAAUCGGGGCAGGGUGAGUCGACCCCUAAGGCGAGGCCGAAAGGCGUAGUCGAUGGGAAACAGGUUAAUAUUCCUGUACUUGGUGUUACUGCGAAGGGGGGACGGAGAAGGCUAUGUUGGCCGGGCGACGGUUGUCCCGGUUUAAGCGUGUAGGCUGGUUUUCCAGGCAAAUCCGGAAAAUCAAGGCUGAGGCGUGAUGACGAGGCACUACGGUGCUGAAGCAACAAAUGCCCUGCUUCCAGGAAAAGCCUCUAAGCAUCAGGUAACAUCAAAUCGUACCCCAAACCGACACAGGUGGUCAGGUAGAGAAUACCAAGGCGCUUGAGAGAACUCGGGUGAAGGAACUAGGCAAAAUGGUGCCGUAACUUCGGGAGAAGGCACGCUGAUAUGUAGGUGAAGUCCCUCGCGGAUGGAGCUGAAAUCAGUCGAAGAUACCAGCUGGCUGCAACUGUUUAUUAAAAACACAGCACUGUGCAAACACGAAAGUGGACGUAUACGGUGUGACGCCUGCCCGGUGCCGGAAGGUUAAUUGAUGGGGUUAGCGCAAGCGAAGCUCUUGAUCGAAGCCCCGGUAAACGGCGGCCGUAACUAUAACGGUCCUAAGGUAGCGAAAUUCCUUGUCGGGUAAGUUCCGACCUGCACGAAUGGCGUAAUGAUGGCCAGGCUGUCUCCACCCGAGACUCAGUGAAAUUGAACUCGCUGUGAAGAUGCAGUGUACCCGCGGCAAGACGGAAAGACCCCGUGAACCUUUACUAUAGCUUGACACUGAACAUUGAGCCUUGAUGUGUAGGAUAGGUGGGAGGCUUUGAAGUGUGGACGCCAGUCUGCAUGGAGCCGACCUUGAAAUACCACCCUUUAAUGUUUGAUGUUCUAACGUUGGCCCCUGAUCGGGGUUGCGGACAGUGUCUGGUGGGUAGUUUGACUGGGGCGGUCUCCUCCUAAAGAGUAACGGAGGAGCACGAAGGUUGGCUAAUCCUGGUCGGACAUCAGGAGGUUAGUGCAAUGGCAUAAGCCAGCUUGACUGCGAGCGUGACGGCGCGAGCAGGUGCGAAAGCAGGUCAUAGUGAUCCGGUGGUUCUGAAUGGAAGGGCCAUCGCUCAACGGAUAAAAGGUACUCCGGGGAUAACAGGCUGAUACCGCCCAAGAGUUCAUAUCGACGGCGGUGUUUGGCACCUCGAUGUCGGCUCAUCACAUCCUGGGGCUGAAGUAGGUCCCAAGGGUAUGGCUGUUCGCCAUUUAAAGUGGUACGCGAGCUGGGUUUAGAACGUCGUGAGACAGUUCGGUCCCUAUCUGCCGUGGGCGCUGGAGAACUGAGGGGGGCUGCUCCUAGUACGAGAGGACCGGAGUGGACGCAUCACUGGUGUUCGGGUUGUCAUGCCAAUGGCACUGCCCGGUAGCUAAAUGCGGAAGAGAUAAGUGCUGAAAGCAUCUAAGCACGAAACUUGCCCCGAGAUGAGUUCUCCCUGACUCCCUGAGAGUCCUGAAGGAACGUUGAAGACGACGACGUUGAUAGGCCGGGUGUGUAAGCGCAGCGAUGCGUUGAGCUAACCGGUACUAAUGAACCGUGAGGCUUAACCUU
This 2902-nucleotide ribosomal RNA is filed under the name Escherichia coli. RNAcentral describes it as "23S ribosomal RNA". It matches the Rfam family "Bacterial large subunit ribosomal RNA". Lineage: Bacteria; Pseudomonadati; Pseudomonadota; Gammaproteobacteria; Enterobacterales; Enterobacteriaceae. RNAcentral also lists the same sequence under 1 other name. The record is from RNAcentral.